RNAcentral lists this long non-coding RNA (2061 nucleotides) under Piliocolobus tephrosceles (Ugandan red Colobus). Its description in RNAcentral is "lncRNA (ENSPTEG00000014103.1)". The record is from RNAcentral. Lineage: Eukaryota; Metazoa; Chordata; Mammalia; Primates; Cercopithecidae.
GAAUAAUAAUAUGUCAUUAAAUAAUUAUUUUAAUCCAACAAAAUUUGAAAAUAGUAUAACAUUUAUAAAAAAUGAAAAAGAUGUUGUUACUAAUGGCACUAACAGAACUAAAGUACACACAUAUGGAAAGAAUACAAAAAACGAAUACCAUAAAGGUACCAACAAUGUUAGUAGUAACCUGGAAAAAACAAAUAAAAAACAAACAAACAAGCAAACAAACAAGCAAACAAACAAGCAAACGAACAAGCAAACAAAUAAAAAAAACAAACAAGUAAACAAACAAACAAAUGCUGAUAUAAUAAACAAAAGAAUAGUAAAAAAUGAAGAUACCGAAUUAGAUAUUGAAAAAGGGAUAAGUGUUAGACCAAAUACAAACAAUUACAAUUUGAAUGAAAAAGAAAAGGUAUAUAACAACGACACAAGUACUUUGGCUGUUUUGGGUACCUCUUGGGCUGCUACCAAGAAUAACCAUAAUGAUAGUAACUUUAGUGCUAAUGUUGGUAAUAAUAGUAACUAUGAUGGUACGAAAACGUUGGGCAAUACGCUUGGUGUGAAUAGUUUUCAGAACCCAGUUAAUCAGAUGUCUGUUCGCAACAUGGAAAAAAAGUUUUAUCCAAACAAACAGUAUAUUCGUAUAACCGAAAAAAAUAACAAUAUCGUGGAAAACAAAAAAAAUGUUAUUCCUAUGCAUAAAAACAAACAUUUCGUACAUAAUGACAAGGUCACUGUCACUUCAAAUGUGUAUGGUCAAGGGAAGGAAAGAGCAAACAUAACAGGAGUAUUACAAAAUCAAGAUGAAAGUUUACAAUGUGGAAUAAACAAAAAUGGUAUUACAUUGCAUAAGCGUAAGAUGCCAAAUGAUAGGCAAAAUGAUAGGCAAAAUGAUAAGGGACAUAAUAAGGGACAUAAUAAGGGACAUAAUAAGGGACAUAAUAAGGGACAUAAUAUGGGACAUAAUAUGGGACAUAAUAUGGGACAUAAUAUGGGACAUAAUAUGGGACAUAAUAUGGGACAUAAUAUGGGAAAUACCAAUACAAUCCUAAGUAUACAUAACGCAAGUGGAAAAAACUCUAACUUGGAAGUCAAUAAAGAAAUAUACAAAUAUAUAGACUAUUGUGUUAAAAAUCGUGGUAAUAAAUAUCUAUUAGACGUAUUAAACGACUUAUCAUAUACUCCUAGAGAUAUUAAUUCAGCUGCCUCUGAUAAUGCCAUUGUCAAUGCUACUAAUAAAGACAACAUGUGUGACUUAAAUAGCAUGUUUAAAAUAAAAAUAAGUCAGGAAAAUAUUAACACCAUUGCAUCAUUAGAAAGUGAUAUUAAAAAUGUGAAAAAUCAGACCAUAGACAACAUUAAGAAUGUUACUAUUUUGGGUACUACCAGUGUCAAUGACACUGCAGAUGUUAGUACCAAUAAAGACGACAAUAAAGACGACAAUAAAGGUGACAAUAAAAACGACAAUAAAGGUGACAAUAAAAACGACAAUAAAAACGACAAUAAUAGCGACAAUAAUAGCGACAAUAAUAGCAACAAUAAUAGCGACAAUAAUAGCGACAAUAAUAGCAACAAUAAAAACGACAAUAAAAGCGACAAUGUCGGUACUAACUCCAGUAUUAACGACAGUUCCAAUGCAAUCAUCACCUUAAAACUAAGUUUAGAUGAUAUAAACAUGACCCUACUACAUAGCGCUUACGUAGACAAUAUAACAGUCGUUAAAAAAUGCCUUGAAAUGAAUGCAAAUGUAAAUUAUACUGAUAAAGUAGGUAGAACAGCUUUACAUUACGCAUGUGUAGGUGAAUAUUAUGAUAUAUGUGACUUGCUAAUAAAACACGGAGCAGAAGUAAAUGUUGCAGAUUUUAAACAAUGGACCCCAUUACAUGUUGCUGUUACAAAAAUGCAUAACCGAAUAACAGAAUUAUUAUUAAAACAUAAUGCUAAUAUAAAUGCUUUAUUACCACAUUCUUUAUCACCCAAUAGAAGAAAUGCUACAGCUAGUAUGAGUAUACAUUUUGCAGCCAUAAAAGGAAAUAAAGAUAUAACAAAAAUAUUAAUAAAACAUGGAGC